This 30-nucleotide non-coding RNA is filed under the name Homo sapiens (human). The record is from RNAcentral. Lineage: Eukaryota; Metazoa; Chordata; Mammalia; Primates; Hominidae.
UGGGAUCCAGAGUUGAAGACCCUUCAGCUG